GCUGGGUGUGGUGGUGUGCACCUGUAAUCCAAGCUACUCGGGAAGCUGAGGCAGGAGAAUUGCUUGAAUCUGGGAGGCAGGGGUUGCAGUGAACUGAGACCAUGCCACUGUACUCCAGCCUGGGCAAUAGAGCAAGACUCUGUCUCAA
Pongo abelii (Sumatran orangutan) is the source of this 148-nucleotide unclassified non-coding RNA. It matches the Rfam family "Metazoan signal recognition particle RNA". Rfam says of the family: The signal recognition particle (SRP) is a universally conserved ribonucleoprotein. It is involved in the co-translational targeting of proteins to membranes. The eukaryotic SRP consists of a 300-nucleotide 7S RNA and six proteins: SRPs 72, 68, 54, 19, 14, and 9. The record is from Ensembl. Lineage: Eukaryota; Metazoa; Chordata; Mammalia; Primates; Hominidae.